Molecule: ribosomal RNA, 279 nt
Filed under: uncultured bacterium
Lineage: Bacteria
Description: partial 16S ribosomal RNA
Rfam family: Bacterial small subunit ribosomal RNA
Source: RNAcentral
UGCCAGCAGCCGCGGUAAUACGGAAGGUGCGAGCGUUAAUCGGAAUUACUGGGCGUAAAGCGCACGUAGGCGGUUGGGUAAGUCGGAUGUGAAAGCCCUGGGCUUAACCUGGGAAUUGCAUUCGAUACUGCUCGACUCGAGUAUGGGAGAGGGUAGCGGAAUUCCGAGUGUAGCGGUGAAAUCCGUAGAUAUUCGGAGGAACACCAGUGGCGAAGGCGGCUAACUGGCUUGAUAUUGACGCUGAGGUGCGAAAGCGUGGGGAGCAAACAGGAUUAGAUA